This 461-nucleotide ribosomal RNA is filed under the name uncultured bacterium. RNAcentral describes it as "partial 16S ribosomal RNA". It matches the Rfam family "Bacterial small subunit ribosomal RNA", at positions 338 to 795 of the family's 1533-position model. The record is from RNAcentral.
CCUACGGGAGGCAGCAGUGAGGAAUAUUGGUCAAUGGGCGAGAGCCUGAACCAGCCAAGUCGCGUGAAGGAUGACGGCCAUACGGGUUGUAAACUUCUUUUGUCAGGGAGCAAUUGGGUCCACGCGUGGGCUUAGCGAGAGUACCUGAAGAAAAAGCAUCGGCUAACUCCGUGCCAGCAGCCGCGGUAAUACGGAGGAUGCGAGCGUUAUCCGGAUUUAUUGGGUUUAAAGGGUGCGUAGGCGGAAUAUCAAGUCAGCGGUAAAAAUUCGGGGCUCAACGUGGGAACUGCCUUUGAAACUGGCAAACUGGAGUGUGUGGGAGGAUAGUGGAAUUCCAGGUGGAUGAGUGAAAUCCGUAGAUAUCUGGAGGAAAAUCAGUGGCGAAGGCGACUAUCUGGCACAUAACUGACGCUGAGGAGCGAAAGUGUGGGUAUCAAACAGGAUUAGAUACCCUGGUAGUC